RNAcentral lists this ribosomal RNA (301 nucleotides) under uncultured bacterium. RNAcentral's name for it is "partial 16S ribosomal RNA". It matches the Rfam family "Bacterial small subunit ribosomal RNA", at positions 509 to 807 of the family's 1533-position model. The record is from RNAcentral.
CAGUAGCCACGGUAAUACAGAGGGUGCGAGCGUUAAUCGGAUUUACUGGGCGUAAAGCGUGCGUAGGCGGCUUCUUAAGUCGGAUGUGAAAUCCCUGAGCUUAACUUAGGAAUUGCAUUCGAUACUGGGAAGCUAGAGUAUGGGAGAGGAUGGUAGAAUUCCAGGUGUAGCGGUGAAAUGCGUAGAGAUCUGGAGGAAUACCGAUGGCGAAGGCAGCCAUCUGGCCUAAUACUGACGCUGAGGUACGAAAGCAUGGGGAGCAAACAGGAUUAGAUACCCGAGUAGUCCCUGUCUCUUAUAC